AGCACGACGCACUGCAAACGCAUAAAUAUCAAGAGGACGCUGGGAAGGAAAAUGGAAUGAAACUCUCCAAGAUACCAAAGUUCCAAGCAAAGGAAUGGUUCAUUUACAGAAGAGCUAUGUCCUCCAUCAUUUGAGGAGGGUGCACUACGGCACAUGCUGCAUCCACUGAAGCAAGUGCAGCUGGCCUCUGCUCCUCUUCAGUCUGCAUUCCCCACAGCCGGGCUGGGCAGCUACUUCAGAGGGUCACACCGGAGGCCCCUGACCAAGCUGCCGCAUCCCUGUCGCAUUGCUGAGGUGUGACGCUGAGGGACUGACGUGCAACCAGACACCCCCCAUCCCAAUUAUGCACUACCCACAGAGACUUCCAGAGGCAUUUGGCCCUGGUGCAGUCAGAAUGGGGGCCACAGCUGCACUGAGAGCUGAUGUUCAAGCCUGAUGUGCCAUCUGUGAGCCUUUCAAGUGGGAUUUCCUUUAUUCUUUUCUUUUUUUUCCUUUUUUGGUUUCGCUCAGCUGUCAAGUGAUCAAACAACAUAAAUAAAUAAAACAUCCAAAAAUAACCUUC
This is a long non-coding RNA of Anguilla rostrata (American eel), 562 nucleotides long. RefSeq lists it as uncharacterized. The record is from RefSeq and is a predicted model, not a curated record. The transcript is spliced from 2 exons. Lineage: Eukaryota; Metazoa; Chordata; Actinopteri; Anguilliformes; Anguillidae.